UACGGAGGGAGCUAGCGUUGUUCGGAAAUACUGGGCGUAAAGCGAACGUAGGCGGCAAUUCAAGUCAGGGGUGAAAUCCCGGAGCUCAACUCCGGAACUGCCCUUGAAACUGGAUCGCUAGAAUCCUGGAGAGGCGAGUGGAAUUCCGAGUGUAGAGGUGAAAUUCGUAGAUAUGCGGAAGAACACCAGUGGCGAAGGCGGCUCGCUGGACAGGUAUUGACGCUGAGGUUCGAAAGCGUGGGGAGCAAACAGG
Molecule: ribosomal RNA, 253 nt
Filed under: uncultured bacterium
Lineage: Bacteria
Description: partial 16S ribosomal RNA
Rfam family: Bacterial small subunit ribosomal RNA
Source: RNAcentral